This 78-nucleotide transfer RNA is filed under the name Moorena producens PAL-8-15-08-1. RNAcentral's name for it is "Moorea producens PAL-8-15-08-1 tRNA-Glu". It matches the Rfam family "tRNA". From Rfam's summary of the family: Transfer RNA (tRNA) molecules are approximately 80 nucleotides in length. Their secondary structure includes four short double-helical elements and three loops (D, anti-codon, and T loops). Lineage: Bacteria; Bacillati; Cyanobacteriota; Cyanophyceae; Coleofasciculales; Coleofasciculaceae. The record is from RNAcentral.
CGUGCCGUAGGCAAAUUUGGUUAAGCCGCGUGCCUUUCAAGCAGGUGAUUGCGGGUUCGAACCCCGUCGGCACGAUCA